GUUGACCUCGGAUCAGGUAGGAAUACCCGCUGAACUUAAGCAUAUCAAUAAGCGGAGGAAAAGAAACCAACAGGGAUUGCCCUAGUAACGGCGAGUGAAGCGGCAACAGCUCAAAUUUGAAAUCUGGCCUUCUGGUCCGAGUUGUAAUUUGUAGAGGAUGCUUUUGGCGCGGUGCCUUCCGAGUUCCCUGGAACGGGACGCCUUAGAGGGUGAGAGCCCCGUACGGUUGGACACCAAGCCUCUGUAAAGCUCCUUCGACGAGUCGAGUAGUUUGGGAAUGCUGCUCUAAAUGGGAGGUAAAUUUCUUCUAAAGCUAAAUACCGGCCAGAGACCGAUAGCGCACAAGUAGAGUGAUCGAAAGAUGAAAAGCACUUUGAAAAGAGGGUUAAAUAGCACGUGAAAUUGUUGAAAGGGAAGCAUUUAUUACCAGACCUUUUCCUAGCGGAUCAUGCGGUGUUCUCACCGUUGCACUUCGCUAGGUUCAGGCCAACAUCGGUUUCUGUAGGGGGAUAAAAGCUCGAGGAACGUAGCUCCCUCGGGAGUGUUAUAGCCUCUUGCAUAAUACCCUUACGGGGACCGAGGACCGCGCUUCGGCAAGGAUGUUGGCAUAAUGGUAAUCAAUGACCCGUCUUGAAACACGGACCAAGGAGUCGAACAUUUGUGCGAGUGUUUGGGUGUUAAACCCUCACGCGUAAUGAAAGUGAACGUAGGUGAGAGCCCUUACGGGUGCAUCAUCGACCGAUCUUGAUGUCUUCGGAUGGAUUUGAGUAAGAGCAUAACUGUUCGGACCCGAAAGAUGGUGAACUAUGCGUGGAUAGGGUGAAGCCAGAGGAAACUCUGGUGGAGGCUCGCAGCGGUUCUGACGUGCAAAUCGAUCGUCAAAUCUGCGCAUGGGGGCGAAAGACUUAUCGAACCAUUAAACCAGCGGUAAAAUUACUUACUAGGUGGUUAAGAGGCCCCCCGCGAGGGGAGAGGCCUAGGCGGGACACCCUGGAGGCGCUACCUGGUACUCGCUACCCGGUACUCCAGGGCGGACUGCCGACACCGCUAAAUUGCGGGGACAUCCUACAGAAGGCCAGGGGCUACCGCCGGCCGCCGAAAGGCGUGCCGGCACUGAGAGUAGCGCUCUUGGGCGGUAAUAACGCCCCUGGUAACGGACGACCUGCAGCCAACCCCGCACUACAGGGGAGGGUUCACAGACUAGACAGCGGUGGGUUGGCUUCUGCCGGCCUAAGACAUAGUCGAUCUGGGCCCCGAAAGGGCGCCCUGCAAGCGCGUCCCACAGUG
Molecule: ribosomal RNA, 1287 nt
Filed under: Anthostomelloides proteae
Lineage: Eukaryota; Fungi; Ascomycota; Sordariomycetes; Xylariales
Description: eukaryotic LSU rRNA
Rfam family: Eukaryotic large subunit ribosomal RNA
Source: RNAcentral